GCUGCCAGAUAGCUCACUCGGUUAAAGCAUGGCACUGCAACUAGCAAGGCGCGUGAUCGAGCCCCGCUCGUACCA
Molecule: non-coding RNA, 75 nt
Organism: Gymnothorax javanicus (giant moray)
Lineage: Eukaryota; Metazoa; Chordata; Actinopteri; Anguilliformes; Muraenidae
Source: the annotation of a GenBank genome assembly